CCACUGCUGAGGAGUCCCAUACCAGGACGAAACGGCCGUCCAGUGA
Molecule: non-coding RNA, 46 nt
Filed under: Schistosoma margrebowiei
Lineage: Eukaryota; Metazoa; Platyhelminthes; Trematoda; Strigeidida; Schistosomatidae
Source: RNAcentral